Molecule: long non-coding RNA, 1568 nt
Filed under: Felis catus (domestic cat)
Lineage: Eukaryota; Metazoa; Chordata; Mammalia; Carnivora; Felidae
Description: lncRNA (ENSFCAG00000049563.1)
Source: RNAcentral
AGAAAAAUACCGCCCCUUCCCCAAUAUCUCCCUGAGUUCUAGAGAGGUGGGUCGAGACUGGGCUGGGGUGUCCUAGGGCCAGCUCUGCCUGUAGCUCUUUUCUUUUCAAACUUCUUUUCUGGAUCACAUAAUGAAUCCACUCACCCUUUUGUGAGGAAGGAAGGAGGGGUUAUUAUCACUCAUAUUUCACGCACAGGAAUACAAAUGAAAAGAAUUAAAGGCUCAAGUCCCGUUCCCAAGGUCAUAUGGUGAAUUGGUACCUGAAACAGGGAAAGGGUUCAGGUUCCUGAUCCUGCCCGUUUUGUUGCCUCAGCGUUAGACCUUGCUGUUUCUUUAAAGCCCACAUUUAGUUAGGAUGAGGGGCGGAGAUGUAGCUGUGAAUUAUUUCCGCCUUAACUUUCCUCAUUAAAAGAAGAAAAAGUGGGGCAACUCUUGCUUUCCUAUUCUUCCCACUGCAACACUGCUUUAUGGCUUUAUGGAGCACGGCCCAUAAGAAGGUCGCAUUUCCCCCUCAGCACGUAUGAAUGCCCUUGUUCUUUCCGCUAUUGGUAUUCUGCAGCAGCUGUCUUAUGGAGCCUGGAGAGCUCCAACGAGGAUGGGCCAGAACUCCAGCUGCUGCUCUGGAUUCCUGCAAAGCUGGAAAUGAAGACCUGCAAAGGGUCUGAGAUCUUAUUCUGUUUGCAAGCUAACUGGUUAGUCUGCUGAGAACACGCAAGCCUUCCGGGCCUGGGAGAGCCAACAUGUGGGCAUUCGUGCCAUUUGUCACAGGUCGACGCCGUGAACGCCCCGCGCUGCCUGCUCACGUAGGGCCUUGUGUUCCAGGAGGAGGAAUCGAAUCCCAAGCUGAGGGAACUUGAAUCUUUUACAACGGAUGGUAAGAAUGCUGCCCUUGGUUCUGGGCAGAGGCACUCUUAUUUUUAAAAGCUGUUGGCUACACAAACCUCCUUGAAAAGAUGGUCUGCAACAAAGUAGCUGGUGCAUCUGCUCCGGAGCUGUGCAGAGAGGCCGCAAGAGCCACGUGCAGCAUUUUCUCCUGGCGGUCAGUUCCACUGAUUUUGUUUUCAACUUCAUGACAUUCUGCUUUUACUUUUAAUUCCUUCCUUCUACUUUCCUUAGAUGUUUGACAUUGUGCUUUGUCUUCAGUUUAUCUUCCUGAAUAAUCGCUUCCUUAGCAUGCAUUCUCCUUAAAGUAAAAAGGUUUUAAGAUUAUAAUUUUUCCUCUGAACAAACCUUUGACUACCUGUCCUAGAUCCGAACAAGUGGUGCCCUCCUGAUCAUUAUUUGCUAAAUUAUAUAGCUUUUCUUGUUUACAGAAGUCAAAGGCUUUGAACAAAAUUGGUCAUCCCUGCGUCUCUUCGCUCUCUGGGUUCACUCUGGAAGCUACUGUCUUUUCUUCAGUCCCUUGUAUUUAAUAGGAUGUCUGUGACUGAUGUGCUAAACAAGGUUAAAUUGCACUUCAUUGCAAUUUAAGAGGAAAUGGAAUUUGGAAGAUGAGGACUCGAGUCCUGACAGCCACUUUUUACUGAUAACCAAAUAAACCAUGCGCUUUGAGUCUCCUUUUUAUCCCC